RNAcentral lists this ribosomal RNA (468 nucleotides) under uncultured bacterium. RNAcentral describes it as "partial 16S ribosomal RNA". It matches the Rfam family "Bacterial small subunit ribosomal RNA", at positions 28 to 507 of the family's 1533-position model. The record is from RNAcentral.
GACGAACGCUGGCGGCGUGCUUAACACAUGCAAGUCGAACGGAAAGGCCCUGCUUUUGUGGGGUGCUCGAGUGGCGAACGGGUGAGUAACACGUGAGUAACCUGCCCUUGACUUUGGGAUAACUUCAGGAAACUGGGGCUAAUACCGGAUAGGAGCUCCUGCUGCAUGGUGGGGGUUGGUAAGUUUCGGCGGUUGGGGAUGGACUCGCGGCUUAUCAGCUUGUUGGUGGGGUAGUGGCUUACCAAGGCUUUGACGGGUAGCCGGCCUGGGAGGGUGAACGGCGACAUUGGGACUGAGGUACGGCGCAGACGCCUACGGGAGGCAGCAGUGGGGAAUAUUGCACAGUGGGCGGAAGCCUGAGGCAGCGACGCCGCGUGCGGGAUGACGGCCUUCGGGUUGUAAACCGCUUUCGCAUGUGACGAAGCGUGAGUGACGGUAAUGGGUAAAGAAGCACCGGCUAACUACGUG